CUGCCACCUUAGCCAUGCACUGUCAGCCAGUGAUCUCUGUACCCUUUCUGCAGCUCUGGGAGUGAGGAAACACCAAUGCCCAGGUGUUGGAGCUGUCCAGGAGCCUGAGGUCCAGAGCCCACCGUUUUGCACAGUAGCCUACAAUGAUUGAAGAACAAAAAGGAAACCCUCACGUUUACGUAUCUCCAAAGAGUGGCAGCAGAGAGCUCCUGGCACAGCAUUUGAAGCCUCGAGAGUUGUUCGCUGUUGGGUCACACGAACUAGUGUUCUGGAAUCCUUUAUACUGCAGAAACAAGGCAAACAUGGAAGCCAGGUUGCUUCCUAGAGACCUCCAGCCAUUCCUGGAAGGCACAGCUCAAGCCCUCUUCCACGAAGUUCCUCAUACUCUGCCCAGGAUUGAAUGUGCCUUCCCCAGGGCCAUCUUCGUGCUGUUUUAUACUAAGACCAAGGGAGCUUCCAACUCCCUCUCUGUUCUCCAUUCUCUCUCCUAAAUAGCCCUUGCAGUCUUGUCAAUAUGUCAGUGAGUUAAACUUAUAGGUAGUGAACAAAAAGAGAAGGAAGUGUCCCCACAAGACUGGUGACACCACAAUGGGUGUCAAAGUCUGUCCGGGGUACAAAAAGUCAUAAGGAAUGGUAAGGUCACAGGGAACUGUCCUUGCCUCCCUAAUUAACUCUCCCUGUUGACCAGAAGCUAAGCUCUCCAGAAGCUUUUCUUGGGAUACAAGGAAAACCCUUCAGUACCUCUCCCUGUGCAAAGCAAGAGACCUGCUUCUCCCCUUUAUGAUACGAAUGAAAUCAGUUGAAGUUUCCUGCUGCCCUUACAGCCAAAACUAACACACUGUGCUCUACAUCUGUACUUCUGUGGACUUCCACCAUCGCUGAAGCCCCUUUCCUUAUCUUGAGAAAUGUGCACUUGUACAGUAGCAGUUCCAACCUUAUCGCUCCCACUUCCACAGGCAUGCCUGCUGGAGAGAGACUGUGUGUCUGUGGUCUGUGUGUGUGUGUGUGUGUGUGUGUGUGUGUGUGUGUGCUCACAGUCUUCAGUAGGACAUGCUAAAGUUCAAACCCACCAAUGACAGGAAAGGUCAUAAUGUUAAACAGAUGUGAAACACUCUGAAUUGGGGCCCAGCCUCUCAGAGAAUUAGCACAGCUCUUCCACAGGUGCAAUAAAUCUGAGUUUUCAACCUU
Molecule: long non-coding RNA, 1188 nt
Organism: Rattus rattus (black rat)
Lineage: Eukaryota; Metazoa; Chordata; Mammalia; Rodentia; Muridae
Exons: 2
Source: RefSeq, a predicted model, not a curated record